CCUCUCCUUUUAUCCUUUUUUGUUAGCGGAUAAAAAUUCGUUAUCGUUAUCUUUCU
Molecule: transfer RNA, 56 nt
Filed under: Linnaea borealis
Lineage: Eukaryota; Viridiplantae; Streptophyta; Magnoliopsida; Dipsacales; Caprifoliaceae
Description: partial tRNA-Leu
Source: RNAcentral